CAAUAGCGUAUAUUAAAGUUGUUGCAGUUAAAAAGCUCGUAGUUGAAUUUUUGCUUGCCGCCGAUGUCGGAACUUCCGUACGUUCGGCGGCGUGCAUCCUUGGGUGGAACCUGUGUGGCAUUAGGUUGUCGUGCGGGGGAUGCUCAUCGUUUACUGUGAAAAAAUUAGAGUGUUCAAAGCAGGCUUACGCCGUUGAAUAUAUUAGCAUGGAAUAAUAAGAUAGGACCUUGGUACUAUUUUGUUGGUUUGCGCACCGAGGUAAUGAUUAACAGGGACAGUUGGGGGUAUUCGUAUUCCAUUGUCAGAGGUGAAAUUCUUGGAUUUCUGGAAGACGAACUACUGCGAAAGCAUUUACCAAGGAUGUUUUCAUUAA
RNAcentral lists this ribosomal RNA (373 nucleotides) under uncultured eukaryote. RNAcentral's name for it is "partial 18S ribosomal RNA". It matches the Rfam family "Eukaryotic small subunit ribosomal RNA", at positions 592 to 976 of the family's 1831-position model. The record is from RNAcentral.